ACGAACAUGUUGAAAUUGGUAAACAAUCUUCACUUAAGAUGAAGUGGGCUUUAGCCCUUAAGAGUUCAAGUCUCUUUGUUCGUA
Molecule: transfer RNA, 84 nt
Filed under: Coniophora puteana
Lineage: Eukaryota; Fungi; Basidiomycota; Agaricomycetes; Boletales; Coniophoraceae
Also listed under: 1 other name
Description: tRNA-Leu
Rfam family: tRNA
About the family: Transfer RNA (tRNA) molecules are approximately 80 nucleotides in length. Their secondary structure includes four short double-helical elements and three loops (D, anti-codon, and T loops).
Source: RNAcentral